GGCCGGAUAAGGCGCUUACGCCGCAUCCGGCGGUUGUGCGCUGGUGCCGGAUGCGCUUGCGCUUAUCCGGCC
Molecule: non-coding RNA, 72 nt
Filed under: Escherichia coli
Lineage: Bacteria; Pseudomonadati; Pseudomonadota; Gammaproteobacteria; Enterobacterales; Enterobacteriaceae
Description: Nucleoid-associated noncoding RNA 4 (CssrE)
Rfam family: Nucleoid-associated noncoding RNA 4 (CssrE)
About the family: In E. coli small RNA transcribed from repeated extragenic palindromic element (REP325) called nucleoid-associated ncRNA 4 (nRNA4) collaborates HU protein in condensing the DNA.
Source: RNAcentral